GACGAACGCUGGCGGCGUGCUUAACACAUGCAAGUCGAACGCUGAAGCACCAGCUUGCUGGUGUGGAUGAGUGGCGAACGGGUGAGUAAUACGUGAGUAACCUGCCCUUGACUCUGGGAUAAGCCCGGGAAACUGGGUCUAAUACUGGAUGCUACAUGUCACCGCAUGGUGGUGUGUGGAAAGGGUUUACUGGUCUUGGAUGGGCUCACGGCCUAUCAGCUUGUUGGUGAGGUAAUGGCUCACCAAGGCGACGAGGGGUAGCCGGCCUGAGAGGGUGACCGGCCACACUGGGACUGAGACACGGCCCAGACUCAUACGGGCGGAAGCAGUGGGGAAUAUUGCACAAUGGGCGAAAGCCUGAUGCAGCGACGCCGCGUGAGGGAUGACGGCCUCGGGUUGUAAACCUCUUUCAGCAGGGAAGAAGCCACAAGUGACGGUACCUGCAGAAGAAGCGCCGGCUAACUACGU
RNAcentral lists this ribosomal RNA (468 nucleotides) under uncultured bacterium. RNAcentral describes it as "partial 16S ribosomal RNA". It matches the Rfam family "Bacterial small subunit ribosomal RNA", at positions 28 to 506 of the family's 1533-position model. The record is from RNAcentral.